Molecule: long non-coding RNA, 5558 nt
Filed under: Citrus sinensis (sweet orange)
Lineage: Eukaryota; Viridiplantae; Streptophyta; Magnoliopsida; Sapindales; Rutaceae
Description: long non-coding RNA (CSIN_LNC003088)
Source: RNAcentral
AAUCCCAAAUUCCACCAUGAUUAUUUAAAUUUAAUAGCUUACCACUCAAAGAAAAGGAAGCCAAUGACCAGUGCAUGAGAUUAUCACUGAAGCUCUUUGAUGGCGCCUUUGCAUAUCUGCAGUCAUAUCAAAAUUAGGUUGGUCCAUGUAAAACUUUUUUUUUUAAAAUCAAUUAUAAUGAUAAAUCUUUGUAGUUACUAUGCCAAGUUUGGUAUCCAUAAAUUAAUUAUGCAGUAAUGGUUGCUGCAUAAGAUAAGUCUCACUCAUUUUUGCCUGCCAACUGAAAAUAAAUUUAGAAUCGCAAUAAUUCAUAAUGACGAAUGUCGUUGACGGUGAUUCUAUAUUAGGGAUGCAGAAUUAAUGGUUAAAUUGAGCACGCUGAAAACUGAAGAUAAAUUUGCUCAACUUUCUUUUAUCUUUUUCGAACCAUGAGAACUUAGCUAGUACUCCUCGGUGACCAGACAUUCGACUGUCAUUCUGAAGCACCUCAUAAUCACGAUGGUGGUUUAUCAGCAAUCAAUCUUGUUGUGGCUAAUAUUUAUUUCAAUGCCUUUAUAAAAACUAAGUGGCAUUGCAACAACUAAGGGUGAAACAGUACCUAGCACCUUUGCUAUCUCCUGCGAUGUACCAAGUGAGAAAGCUUCUAGCUUGAAAAAGAAUAACCAAAUUAAGAAUCUCAGGCAAAAAAGAACCAAAAAGAAAAAUGCAAUUACACAUUUUAACUUAGAGAUUAUUGGCUAAUCUUUAGGUUGAUGGACAAAGCAAAGAGAGUACACAUUAUCUAAAAAAAUGACAUUUGAAAAAAAUACUGAUUUUUAUUCUAUAUGUUCUGCAGUAGAAUUACAGAGUAUUUAUAUAUAAGUUUACAAGAGCAAAUAUUCACAAAACAAGCGAAAGUAAAUAACGAUCCCAUAUUCAAAGGGAUUACAAAUCAGCCACAUAUAAGAAAAUAAUCUCUCUCAAUUAGUCAAGUGAAGCCAACGAAAUCUUAACACUCCCCCUCAAGUUGGAGCAUGUAUAUCUAGCAUGUUCAACUUGGUUGUUAGCCUCUUAAACACCUUUCCUCCAAGAGCUUUUGUAAAAAUGUCUGCCAACUGUAAAUGAGAUGGAACAAAUUUGGUGAUUAUCUGACCAUCUUGUAUUUUCUCCCUUACCACAUGACAGUCAAGAUCUAUGUGUUUGGUGCGUUCAUGAUAUACCGGAUUUGCUGCUAUGUGAAGAGCAGCUUGGUUAUCACAUAAUAGCCUUGCUGGUCCUAUGGAAAUUUGCAUAUCAUUGAAUAAAAAUCUAAGCCAAGUGAGCUCACAGGUUGCUGCUGCCAUGGACCUGUACUCAGCUUCUGAUGAUGAUCUUGAGACUGUUUUCUGUUUCUUUACUUUCCAAGAAAUCAAAGAAUCCCCUAAGAACACACAAUAACCUAUUGUUGAACUUCUUGUUAUAGGACAGUUUGCCCAAUUAGCAUCACAGUAAGCCUUUAAAGUAAAGGAAUUGCUUGAGGAGAAUAACAAACCUAAACCAGGGCUGCCCUUUAAAUAUUUAAUAAUACGAAGAGCAGUAUCCCAGUGAGGCUUUCUUGGAGCAUGCAUAAAUUGGCUUAAGAUGUUAACUGAGUAUGUAAUGUCUGGUCUCGUAAUUGUGAGAUAUAUUAGUUGGCCAAGUAAUCUCCUGUAGCGAGUUGGAUUAUGCAGCAGAUCACCUUGAUGGUUUGUGAGCUUCAAAUUCAUCUCCAUGGGAAAAUUUACCGGUUGAGCACCCAAGUAUCCAACAUCAUCUAUGAUUUCUAAGGUAUAUUUUCGUUGAGAGAUAACAAGACCUGCUUUGGACCUUGCAACUUCCAGCCCAAGAAAAUAUUUAAGAAGACCGAGAUCUUUGAUAUGAAAUUGCUGGUGAAGAAAUUGUUUGAGAUUAUAUAUAGCGACUGCAUCAUUUCCAGUUAUCACCAUAUCAUCUACAUAAAUAAGAACCAUAGUUAUAGAUGUGCCUUUUGUCUUCACAAACAACGAGUAGUCUGAAUGUGAUUGAAUAAAGCCAGCUUUCUUGACGGCAUGAGAAAAUUUUACAAACCAAUUGCGAGGAGCUUGUUUAAGCCCAUAAAGGGACUUAUGAAGUUGACAAACAAGCUUCUCCCCCUGUCGACAAAGUCCCGGCGGUGAAGUCAUAUAUACUUCUUCUUCUAAAUCACCAUGCAAAAAAUCGUUGGUCACAUCCAUUUGAUACAAUGGCCAAUGUCUUACAGCAACCACAACAAGUAAACAACGAACAGUGAUCAAUUUAGCCACAGGAGCAAAUGUCUCAGUGUAAUCCAGGCCUUCUUGUUGAGAAAAUCCUUUGGCGACUAAUCGAGCUUUGUAACGUUCAAUCGUACCAUUAGAAUUGUAUUUGAUACGAUAAACCCAUUUGCUGCCAAUGGGACGAUGACCAGCAGGUAAAGGGACCAAGGACCAUGUCUUCUGUGAAUUGAGAGCAUCAAGUUCACGUUGCAUAGCCUCUUUCCAUUUUGGAUCCAAUACAGCCUGAGCAUAAGAGGUUGGUUCUAGGACACUUGAAAUGGUGUUAACAAAGUGUUUAUGAGUAGAAGACAAAGAAUCAUAGGAAAUGUAUUGGCUUAAAGGAUAUUGAGUACCUGACUUAGUUGAAAAUGACUGACUUGAAGUUGCAGUUGAUGGUGUUGUACUAAUCUGUCCACAAUGAAAGUCACGAAGGAGAACAGAUGGUUGCCUGACACGGUCACUUUUACGAAUAGGAGGGGUAGGAGAAGAUAUAGAGGAAGAAGGGGAAGAAGUUGAUGACAAUAAAAGAUUAGGAGAGGGAAUAAUGGUCUUUGAUGCUGGAGGGACAGGAUGAGUUGUAGGAGGAGAUAUAUCAUCGAUGUAAUCUGAUAUCUUAGGCUGAGGAAAAGUGCUAUCUAAUGAUUUUUCGAUAUGAAGAAAAGGAAAAAUAGACUCAUGAAAAAUGACAUCACGACUGGAAAAGAAUUGGUGAGUAUGGAGAUCAUAUAACCGAUAGGCUUUUUGGCCUAUAGGGUAACCAACAAAGAUGCAUUGUCGAGCCCGAGAAUCAAACUUAUUGGAUGGCUGUAGAUUUGUUGCAUAACAGAGACAUCCAAAAACUCGUAAAUGAGUGUAGUUAGGUGGCUUAUUAUACAACAACUCAUAUGGAGAUUUAUAUUGUAACAAGGGAGUGGGAAGACGAUUUAUAAGAUAGGCUGCAGUAAGUAAACUCUCCCCCUAAAAUUUUAAAGGAAGAUUGGCAUCAAUUCUCAAAGCCCGACUAACGUUUAAGAGAUGAUGGUGUUUUCGUUCAACGACACCAUUUUGUUGAGGUGUAGAUGGACAUGAGCUUUGAAAUAAAAUACCAAGGGUGGAGAAAUAAGGUUUCAUGGAAAGAAAUUCUGAGCCAUCAUCACUUCUAAGACAUUUAACUUGGCAAUUAAAUUGAGUGUUCACAAAAGAAAUAAAUGUUUUUAUUAAUCCUUGGGUUUCGGAUUUAAAUUUCAUUAAAAAAAUCCAAGUGAAACGAGUGUAAUCAUCAACUAUAGUCAGGAAAUAAUGUACCCCUGUAUGGUUGCAGUACGAAAAGGUCCCCAAAUAUCACAAUGAAUAAGAUCAAAUGAAUGCAAAGUUUGAAUAGAACUUGAAGAAAAUGGUAAACGAGUUUGCUUUGCCAAAGGGCAAGUUUCACAGGAAUGUUGAGAAUCAAAUACAAAUGCAGGAAUAUUAUUGCUUAAAAAUUGUGAAGGUGCUUUUGAGGGAUGUCCUAACCGCUUGUGCCAAGUAAUAUGUGUAGUAGAAUCAGCAUGAUGAGUGAUUGAAAAAGAAGUUGGUGUAGACUUCACUUGAGGAACAAAGUAGUACAAGCCAUUAAGCUGCUUCCCCAAGCCAAUCAUCUUCUUCGAAGCUAGGUCCUGCAAUAUACAGAAAGUGGGAAAAAAAUGGAUUGAACAAUUCAUGGCAGCAGUAAGUUGACUCACUGAAAGUAAAUUAACAUGAAAUGAUGGUGCACAUAAUACAUUAUUAACAUGUAGGUGGUUUGAGAGUUGUGUUAAACCAAUUCCAGUUAUCUUAGAAUAGGCACCAUUAGGCAAGGUUACUUGAGAUGACAGAGGAGUUUGAAUAGGUAUUGAAGUUGCUAUGUGAUUUGUUGCACCACUAUCAAUAAUCCAGUGAUUCAAGUCUGUCUUUUGCGUAUUGAAAGAUGAACAGAAAGGUAUAGGGAUACCUGUGUAGUUUGCUCGAGCAGGAUUGUUACCAUUUCUAAAGAAAGCUUUUAUUUGGGCAAGCUCUUCAGAGGUAAAUUGAGGAGUUUGUUCAGUUGGCGUCUUUGCUAAGUUCUGAUUCAUUUCAGCACUAGGUUGAUGCACAACAGGUUUUCUGCUUCGAUUUGGAGGUUGAACGUCUUUGGCAUGAAGCUUAUGACCAACUGGGAAUCCAUUCAAGUAGUAACAACGAUCUACUGAAUGAGUUGUGUCCUCACAGUAAGUACAAAAGAAAGAUUUCUUCAUUCCUUGUGGCUUGGGAUGAGAGGAUGAUCCUUGUUUGGUUUGUUGUUGUGCAUCAAAUUGUGUUUCUCUGGAUUUAUCAUGAGCUUUGAUACUCAUGGCAUGAAUGAGAUCAAUGCCUUUGGCUUCAGUAAGUCAUCGUUGCUUUUCUUCCUCACGGAGAAGAGAAUAUGCCUUUUUGACAGUUGGUAGAGGAUACAUUAACAUUAUUUGUCCUCGCAAAGCUGAGUAUGUUUCAUUCAAUCCCAUGAGGAAUUGUCCCAGCCUAAUCUUUUCUUCUUUUUCUUUCAAGUCUUUUUGUCCUCCACAGGUGCAUGUGAUUGAAGGACUGCAAGUAGUUAGCUCAUCCCACAACAUUUUUAUCUUUGUGUAAUAAGAAAAAAUUGAAUCUUGAUUUUGUUUCAAUUCAACAAUAAAUUGCUGAGUUUGAUAAUGGUGGGAAAAAUCACCUCGAGAGAAACGUUCUUGAAGGUCAGUCCAAAUCUCUGAGGGUGUCUCUAAAUAGAGUACACUAUUUAGAGAGUUGAGGAUCCAAGAAAGCACCAUAUCGUUGCAGCGCUGCCAUAAAGAAUGUUUUGGAUCAUCUUCAUCUGGUGUGUGAAUGGUUCCUUUAGCAGACUGCUAUCACUAUCAAUAUCAAUAUCAUCCAUAAAAAAAUAGAAGCGGAAGUGUUUUACCGAAUCAAAACCAUUUCUCUGAUACCAUGAAAAAAUGACAUUUGAAAAGAAUAUUGAUUUUUAUUCUAUAUGUUCUGCAGUAGAAUUACAGAGUAUUUAUAUAUAAGUUUACAAGAGCAAAUAUUCACAAAACAAGGGAAAGUAAAUAACGAUCCCAUAUUCAAAGGGAUUACAAAUCAGCCACAUAUAAGGAAAUAAUCUCUCUCAAUUAGUCAAGUGAAGCCAACGAAAUCUUAACAUUAUCUUUAGUUCAUUUUAACUCAUGAUACGGCCUUGCAACAGCAUCCUAAGAAGUUAACAAUGGCCAUAGAAUAAAUAACACUAACUUGUAGUUGUAGUGCACUUCUACAUUACUAGCACAUAUAAUCUUUGUACCUCUAAUA